AUUGAACGCUGGCGGCAUGCCUUACACAUGCAAGUCGAACGGCAGCACGGGUGCUUGCACCUGGUGGCGAGUGGCGAACGGGUGAGUAAUACAUCGGAACGUACCUUAUCGUGGGGGAUAACGCAGCGAAAGCUGUGCUAAUACCGCAUACGCCCUGAGGGGGAAAGCGGGGGAUCGAAAGACCUCGCGCGAUUAGAGCGGCCGAUGCCUGAUUAGCUUGUUGGUGGGGUAAAAGCCCACCAAGGCGACGAUCAGUAGCUGGUCUGAGAGGACGAUCAGCCACACUGGGGCUGAGACACGGCCCAGACUCCUACGGGAGGCAGCAGGGGGGAAUUUUGGACCAUGGGGGCAACCCUGAUCCAGCAAUGCCGCGUGAGUGAAGAAGGCCUUCGGGUUGUAAAGCUCUUUUGUCAGGGAAGAAACAGCAGCUCUAACACAGUCUGCGAAUGACGGUACCUGAAGAAUAAGCACCGGCUAACUACGUGCCAGCCGCCGCAGUAA
RNAcentral lists this ribosomal RNA (501 nucleotides) under uncultured bacterium. Its description in RNAcentral is "partial 16S ribosomal RNA". It matches the Rfam family "Bacterial small subunit ribosomal RNA", at positions 29 to 523 of the family's 1533-position model. The record is from RNAcentral.